This 73-nucleotide transfer RNA is filed under the name Marmota monax (woodchuck). RNAcentral describes it as "tRNA.Val". The stretch from base 7 to 67 matches the Rfam family "tRNA", at positions 6 to 65 of the family's 71-position model. Rfam says of the family: Transfer RNA (tRNA) molecules are approximately 80 nucleotides in length. Their secondary structure includes four short double-helical elements and three loops (D, anti-codon, and T loops). Further hydrogen bonds mediate the characteristic L-shaped molecular structure. tRNAs have two regions of fundamental functional importance: the anti-codon, which is responsible for specific mRNA codon recognition, and the 3' end, to which the tRNAs corresponding amino acid is attached (by aminoacyl-tRNA synthetases). tRNAs cope with the degeneracy of the genetic code in two manners: having more than one tRNA (with a specific anti-codon) for a particular amino acid; and 'wobble' base-pairing, i.e. permitting non-standard base-pairing at the 3rd anti-codon position. The record is from RNAcentral. Lineage: Eukaryota; Metazoa; Chordata; Mammalia; Rodentia; Sciuridae.
UGAGAAUAUAGCUCAGUAGGAGAGUGCUUGCCUAACAUGCAUAGGGCCCUGGUUUCAAUCCCCAGUACCACAA